Molecule: long non-coding RNA, 1530 nt
Organism: Syngnathoides biaculeatus (alligator pipefish)
Lineage: Eukaryota; Metazoa; Chordata; Actinopteri; Syngnathiformes; Syngnathidae
Exons: 2
Source: RefSeq, a predicted model, not a curated record
CCUGUAGGUAAUUGAAAACUACCUACUUCACCCCAGGAAAGUAAAGGGCGCACAGGACGUACUGUCUCGGAGGUACAACAGCGACUGACCAACAGUGCAGUGAAGGUUUUGCUUGGAGAUGUUCAAGCAGAAUGGAGAAUCUGUAUCCCUUUGAUGCAGGAACAGUUUAACCGGGCAGGAGUGUUUUUUUCUUUUUUUUUUUAAUUCUCAUUGUGGUUCUUGGAACAAUGAUGGAUAAUUAUUGAAAAGUUCAGGUAGACAGGAUGUGAUACUAUAUAGUGACAGAUAACUGGAUACUAACAUAAUUUCUAAAUAGAAUUUGCAAGUCGUGCAUACUCUUUGUGAAGGGCAACAAAGAAACUCUCUUUUUGGUGCUGUAAUGUAUUUUGCAUGAAGUCCACUUUACCAAAGUUUUAAAUAAUUCAAGACCUCUUAAUCCUGCUGCCAAAUCUUGUGAAAUAUUCUGUGAGACAGAAUUAACAAAAGUGUCAGAUCAUGGAGCACAAGACAUGCAUGAUUCAAGAUCUUGGAAAGGAAUGUUGAGACAUUGUUGUCCCACAUUCUCAUGGCUCACUGGUAACGCUGCAUUUCUAGAAAUAACAAAUACUGUAAAGAAACAACGUGAAAACAAUUGUUACAGUGGAUAGAAAAUGUCCACACUUCCUGUUAAAAAAAUGAAAGGUUCUGGAGAUAUCAAUAAACAUCAUUCAAGAGACAUAAUUUAAAAACUCCUCCCACCACAAAUGUGACAUGGAAUACAACAACAAAAAAUAUGAAAGGGUAAUUACAUACAGAAUAUAAAACCGAAGUAAUAUGGUUGUACAAGCUAAAUUCAAUUUAUUUGUAUUAAACAAGCCAUGCAGAGGGCAACUCAUUGCUUUCCCAAAAGGUUAUGGACUUUUGUUGCUGUUACUUUAUACUAUUCAUAAUUCCUAAGGACCUAUUUCCAGAAACUCAGCCCCAAUGUAUGAUGUUGCCACCUCCAUACUAGACUGUAGGUAUGGUGUUCUUUUGGUGAUGAGCAGUAUUCAUGUUUGUGCUAAACAUACCUUUUGGAAUUAUGGCCCAAAAAUAGAACUCCCAAACACAUGGGAAAAUGUGUUACAGUUGGUUAAAAACAAGGUGAAACUUUUGGGACAUAAUUCCAAAAUGGUAUGUUGGGUGCAAAUAAAACAGCUCAUCACCAAAAGAGCACGUUACAGUCAAAGGGUUUACUCCAUAAGAAAUUAAAUUCAUGUGGCUUAAUUUGAGGUUUAUUCUUUUGCAUUUAAUCUAAAUGUGUGUGUGUGUUGAAGACAAAGUCCGAGAAUAGUAGAAGCAUAUAAAAUAGACUACUAUGAAGUAAUCAGAAAGGACUCUGAAGUAUAGAAUACAACGGCUAUGUGGUUUGAAGAGUCUAGACUGUUAUCCAGACCUUACUUCUACUACAACUUGAUUUCUUGCCGCCAGCAGUCUCCUCUGAAAAAAUGUCCUUAUUAUGGUCAACAGUUCUAUGACAAGAAGUAAAUAAAAAAACCUCUUUCUGCUCCA